RNAcentral lists this ribosomal RNA (301 nucleotides) under uncultured bacterium. RNAcentral's name for it is "partial 16S ribosomal RNA". It matches the Rfam family "Bacterial small subunit ribosomal RNA", at positions 509 to 807 of the family's 1533-position model. The record is from RNAcentral.
CAGUAGCCGCGGUAAUACGAAGGGUGCAAGCGUUAAUCGGAAUUACUGGGCGUAAAGCGUGCGUAGGCGGUGAGUUAAGUCUGCUGUGAAAUCCCCGGGCUCAACCUGGGAAUGGCAGUGGAUACUGGCUCGCUAGAGUGUGUCAGAGGAUGGUGGAAUUCCCGGUGUAGCGGUGAAAUGCGUAGAGAUCGGGAGGAACAUCAGUGGCGAAGGUGGCCAUCUGGGACAACACUGACGCUGAGGCACGAAAGCGUGGGGAGCAAACAGGAUUAGAUACCCCAGUAGUCCCUGUCUCUUAUAC